CUCCAUGAGGCGUGUGAGAGCCUUUUUAACAAGAUUCCUUAUUUACUGGAUGAUGAUUGUGUGAAAGUGUGUUAAAAAGAAAACCCACCAGAAUAAUAGAGGUUUAUCUCUCUGGGCUUUAAACUGUCAAAUAUAUUGAGGUCUGGUUUUGGUGUUGGUAACAUACAGUGAUGUGAGAGGAGGAAUAGGUCGAGGGAGGAGCAACACUGUCAGAGCAGAGCAGAACAGAAAAGGACUCCUACUGUCAGAUGCAUUCAAUAUCUAAACCAGACAGAACACAGAUACUGUCUGUAAGAUGAUGUCACUGCAUUACUGUAUCAUUUUUCAGCUUCUUCUGACCAUACUAAAAGGUGUCAGCUGUGAAGAACUCACUCCAGAUAACGAUGAAGAGUUCAGUUUAGAAGGCAGCACUGUUACUCUGUCCUACACAUACUCCAAUAAAGCUGAUAGCAACGAUUAUUUCUUCUGGUAUCGACAAUAUCCAGGAAAACCACCACAGUUCCUCAUGUACAUCUCAGGGCUCAACUUUACAAGACCAGCAGAGUCUCUAGAAUCAGACACAAAGUUCUCUACUAAACUGUCUGGAGAAAAACAUCUGGAUCUGCAGAUCUCCUCUGCUGCAGUGACUGACUCUGCUGUGUACUACUGUGCUGUGAAGCCCACAGUGACAGGAAACACCAAGACUCUGUACAAAAACCUUUGGAGCAAAGACAACAGAAUACUCCACAACAUCCACUACAGGGAGUCACACACUGUUAAACUUCAGUGUAUUUUAUGAUACAGUCUGGAUUCUUUGUAGUGCUGAUAGAAACAACAGAAAAUUAAGCACUAAAGGUAAAACAGACUGAGAUAAAGUGUUGUUUCAUACGACACAAACUCUGAUGAUAAUGAGGUGUUGUGGGAUAUUAUUUAUAUGAACAAUACAUUCAUAAUGAAGUGUAACAGCAAAUCCUCUGACAUCUAAUAGAGCUCAAAUUAAACUCUGUAGGUCACUUAUUUUGUGAGGCCCUCUCUUACAUAUUCAUAACCACCUUGUGCUGGUAAUUCAUAUCAUUUGUCCAGUUCCAGGUAUAAUUUCAUGGUGUUGAGCUCCCUCUGGUUGUUAGGUUACAUGAAGUCCAUUGCACCAGUCUCUAUUUUAGUUACCGUGUACCUGAAGCUAGUGUGCAGUUCAGCAUUUUCUCUCGGUGAAGUUUUGAGAAUAAAUGCCUGUGAGUAUUACGUAACUUGAUUUGUUGUAUAUUAAUAAUAGUUGGAUGACAAAUGAGGCUGUUUAGUUAGCUGUACCCUGUCUGGUUAGCUAGUCAUGUGCUAAGGUUCAUUUCAAUUGAAUUGAUAUUGCCUACCUGGAAACACUGUAUUUCAUUAUUUUAAUGAUUUUUUAGUUGUUUUAUUUGACAGUGUGGUUGCUAUAGAAGUCUCCCUGUAAAUGUAUUAUUGACCCUUGUGAAUGUAUACUUACCUGUCAGAAUCAGAAAUACUUUAUUGAUCCCCGAAGGGAAACUCUUUGUUACAGCAGCUCGCCUUUACGUCAGUGCACACAGGAGAAAGUACUAGAAAAAAAUAUAAUAUAUAGUGUACCUGUAAAAUGAAAGGAAGCAAAUAACCACAUGGACAACUAAUUGUACUCAGAUAUAUUUUGUUUAUAUCAAGUGCCAAAACCUGCAGUUCCUUCAACUUGAUGCUCCAAAAGUGAGUCAAUCCCCAUAGACCCCCAUGUUAAAAUGCAGCAGAAAUAAACAUGUUUACAUGU
Siniperca chuatsi (mandarin fish) is the source of this 1753-nucleotide non-coding RNA. The record is from the annotation of a RefSeq genome assembly. NCBI's taxonomy places the organism in Eukaryota, Metazoa, Chordata, Actinopteri, Centrarchiformes, Sinipercidae.